Armigeres subalbatus is the source of this 180-nucleotide long non-coding RNA. RefSeq lists it as uncharacterized. Lineage: Eukaryota; Metazoa; Arthropoda; Insecta; Diptera; Culicidae. The transcript is spliced from 3 exons. The record is from RefSeq and is a predicted model, not a curated record.
UCGGCUUCUUGCUGUUUAUUGAAACGAAACGUGCAGCGAACGGUAUCAUUUCAGAAAGCUAAAUACGAGCUAAAUACGAGCUAAAUAUCCUUAACUAAAAUUAGUGGUUUGUUCUCUAUAAAAUCGUGUGAAUUCCAUGCAAUUAGACACACACGGAACACAUAUAGUACGGUAGAACUG